UACUAACAGUUGCCUCUAGGAGAAGGGGUAACUUAUUUAUUAAUGUCAGCAGCACCCUGUAAACACAGACACCCCCACCUCCCUGACUAUUAAAGUGACAGUAGGUGUGUUACCUGUAUGAGCUCACCUGUGGGCGUGUCACUAGCAACAGACUUGUGUUAGAGUUAGAGUUGCCGAUACAGCAGCAGCAACUUCACUUUGCCCCCCUCUCUCCAAAACAUUUACUGCUUUGUAAAGUGUUUAAUCAAUCCCUGCUUUUUGGCACCAGAUCUCAGCGAGGACUCCUGGAUGCGGAGGUUACCAUCUAAAGUGCAACUGUCACCAGGUUGGAGGAGCUAAUGGCACACAGUAGGCAAAGUAUCUGUAUCCCAGCACCAGAUCCUUAUAAAGUUCCAGCAGAUGAAGACCAACCAGGAAACCCUCAGAUGAUGUUGGCAGAGCAAUCUGAUUUCCUUCCUUCCGUUAGCUUGGCUGGGGUUCUUCUAAUUGUCUUCCUGCUUCUUAUCCCAGUUCUCUUCCCAUCUGUCCAUCCCUUAGGAAGCCAUUCAAUACCCCUUAAUGGGACCUUUGUGCAGCUUCACCCUCUGCUUACUAGCCAACCACUCUCAACCCGUUGGACGUUACAGAAGAUUUUUAGAGGAUUUAGGGUAGAGGGUGUAACAGUGAUUGCAAUAGCACAGGAGGAUGCUGUUCAGACACUUGUUUGUUUCUCCAGCUAUUUAAUAUCCCUCCUAUCACAUAAAAACACUACUGAACAUGUUACCAAAAGGGUCCGACACACCAACUCUGAAUUACAGGCUAUGAACGGUACAAGGACUCCAGACGGCUUCUACGUUUCAGUCAUAAGUCAGAAAAAACAACAAACACCCCAUGGAAUCAUUCUGGGCCCAAGAAGUCCUAAAACUGGUGGAGGACCUCAAUGGAAGAUAACUCUUACCUUAACACAGAUGGACAAUAAGCAGAUAAUGCAUGAGGAAACCUCACUGUUAGCAAGGGAGCUUCUACAAAUUCUACAAACAAAAGGGCAGGUUCCACAGGCUUUUGAGAGAUCGGAAUUAUGGGGAAAGCCGCUCCCUGUCCUAUGGAUUACAGCAAACCCUUAUCUAGAGAGUGGCUAUGUGUGCUGAAGGAUUGAAUAUUAUAUUUUACAUCUACAACUUUGAAAUGCAACUUGCUGUCAUGGAAGUGAAACUCAAAAUCUUAACUUCACUAUAUGGGUCUACUUCUGUUUGAAGGACACCCCAAGUACUCAUCCAUGGGAACAGAGGUAACACCAGCAAGCACUCACUGAAGCCUUUAGGUAAAAAUGGAAACCAGUGGAUAAUAUGAAAUGCCGUCCAUGGCCUCAUUUUCUGACACUCAGAAGAACAAAGAAAACAAUAUCCUUAUAUGUGAACUAAUUGUAUAUGAUGAUGAAAUAUAGCACUGUUACAGAAAAUAUUGGCAUCCCCAGUCAUAAAUAUUGGCCCCAGUUGUAUUAUAUUACAAUAUUUUCUUUCUUAUAAGCACUAGAGUAUUUUUACAUUUUGUUUGUUGACUCAACUGUCCCUCUACUAUAUGAUUUAAAAUGACAUUUAUUUCUGUUUAUGUAUUACUCGUUGUUAAAGGCAAGAAAACCCCAAAGCACUGAAUUCCUGGUUGAAAGAUUUUAGGCAAAGCUUUGUUCAACCUCCUUGGUGCUGAGAAGAAAUGCCUUAUCCAGUUUGAUGUGUCUUUUGUAUGUUUAUAAAUAAAAUACCAGCUAUUA
Molecule: RNA transcript, 1747 nt
Organism: Xenopus laevis (African clawed frog)
Lineage: Eukaryota; Metazoa; Chordata; Amphibia; Anura; Pipidae
Exons: 2
Source: RefSeq, a predicted model, not a curated record